Molecule: ribosomal RNA, 1560 nt
Filed under: Pseudomonas aeruginosa
Lineage: Bacteria; Pseudomonadati; Pseudomonadota; Gammaproteobacteria; Pseudomonadales; Pseudomonadaceae
Description: partial 23S ribosomal RNA
Rfam family: Bacterial large subunit ribosomal RNA
Source: RNAcentral
GGAGACACACGGCGGGUGCUAACGUCCGUCGUGAAAAGGGAAACAACCCAGACCCACAGCUAAGGUCCCAAAUUCACUGCUAAGUGGAAAACCAUGUGGAAAGGCACAGACAGCCAGGAGGUUGGCUUAGAAGCAGCCACCCUUUAAAGAAAGCGUAAUAGCUCACUGGUCGAGUCGGUCUGCGGGGAAGAUUUAACGGGGCUAAGCAGUGAACCGAAGCUUGGGGUGCAUACUUUGUAUGCGCGGUAGAGGAGCGUUCCGUAAGCCGUUGAAGGUGGAUUGAGAAGUCUGCUGGAGGUAUCGGAAGUGCGAAUGCUGACAUGAGUAACGAUAAUGCGGGUGAAAAACCCGCACGCCGAAAGCCCAAGGUUUCCUUGCGCAACGUUAAUCGGCGCAGGGUGAGUCGGCCCCUAAGGCGAGGACGAAAGUCGUAGUCGAUGGGAAGCAGGUUAAUAUUCCUGCACCUCGCGUAAGUGCGAUGGAGGGACGGAGAAGGUUAGGUGUACCAGGCGUUGGUUGUCCUGGGGAAAGGCGGUAGGUUUGGAUCUUUGGCAAAUCCGGGAUCCUCUAAGACCGAGCACCGAGACGAGCCUUUAUGGCGAAGUCACUGAUACCACGCUUCCAGGAAAAGCUCCUAAGCUUCAGCUUACGCAGACCGUACCGUAAACCGACACAGGUGGGUAGGAUGAGAAUUCUCAGGCGCUUGAGAGAACUCGGGUGAAGGAACUAGGCAACAUGGCACCGUAACUUCGGGAGAAGGUGCACCCUUUUUGGUGGCUCGUGCGAGCUAUAGCUGAAGAGGGUCGCAGUAACCAGGCCGCUGCGACUGUUUAUCAAAAACACAGCACUCUGCAAACACGAAAGUGGACGUAUAGGGUGUGACGCCUGCCCGGUGCUGGAAGGUUAAUUGAUGGGGUCAGCCGCAAGGCGAAGCUCUUGAUCGAAGCCCCAGUAAACGGCGGCCGUAACUAUAACGGUCCUAAGGUAGCGAAAUUCCUUGUCGGGUAAGUUCCGACCUGCACGAAUGGCGUAACGACAGCGGCGCUGUCUCCACCCGAGACUCAGUGAAAUUGAAAUCGCUGUGAAGAUGCAGCGUUCCCGUGGCAAGACGGAAAGACCCCGUGAACCUUUACUAUAGCUUUACACUGAACGUUGAGUUCGUCUGUGUAGGAUAGGUGGGAGGCUAUGAAACCAUGGCGCUAGCUGUGGCGGAGCCAUCCUUGAAAUACCACCCUGUCGUGCUUGACGUUCUAACCUGGGCCCAUUAUCUGGGUCGGGGACCGUGUAUGGUGGGUAGUUUGACUGGGGCGGUCUCCUCCUAAAGAGUAACGGAGGAGCUCGAAGGUACGCUCAGCGCGGUCGGACAUCGCGCACUGUGUGCAAAGGCAUAAGCGUGCUUGACUGCAAGAUCGACGGAUCAAGCAGGUAGGAAACUAGGACUUAGUGAUCCGGUGGUUCUGUAUGGAAGGGCCAUCGCUCAACGGAUAAAAGGUACUCCGGGGAUAACAGGCUGAUACCGCCCAAGAGUUCAUAUCGACGGCGGUGUUUGGCACCUCGAUG